GGAGUUUGGGCCGUGUCUCAGUCCCAAUGUGGCCGGUCACCCUCUCAGGUCGGCUACUGAUCGUCGCCUUGGUGGGCUGUUAUCUCACCAACUAGCUAAUCGGACGCGAGCCCAUCUUUAACCGGAUUGCUCCUUUGACCCCUUCGCCAUGUAGCGUUGUGGUCUCAUGCGGUAUUAGCACAUCUUUCGAUGCGUUAUCCCCCUGUUAAAGGCAGGUUGCUCACGCGUUACUCACCCGUCCGCCGCUGAAACAUCCAAAAAGCAAGCUUUCCAAAUGUCUCCGCUCGACUUGCAUGUGUUAGGCACGCCGCCAGCGUUGUCCUGAGCCAGGAGUCAAACUCU
RNAcentral lists this ribosomal RNA (342 nucleotides) under uncultured Eubacteriales bacterium. Its description in RNAcentral is "uncultured Clostridiales bacterium partial 16S ribosomal RNA". Lineage: Bacteria; Bacillati; Bacillota; Clostridia; Eubacteriales. The record is from RNAcentral.